Long non-coding RNA from Neodiprion fabricii, 127 nucleotides. RefSeq lists it as uncharacterized. The transcript has 4 exons. The record is from RefSeq and is a predicted model, not a curated record. NCBI's taxonomy places the organism in Eukaryota, Metazoa, Arthropoda, Insecta, Hymenoptera, Diprionidae.
GAUUUCAGACGUGUACCCUUCCUAUCUGGGAAACAGAGUGAGAAUAGGGUAUGCAAGGAUCUGGAUAGAAGGGAAAAUGUGGAAGUGGGAUGAGAUAGGAGAGGUGCUUAGAGAUGGUACAGGGAGA